CGCACAUUGCGCCCGCCAGUACUCUGGCGGGCAUGCCUGUCCGAGCGUCAUUUCAACCCUCGAGCCCCCGGGCUUGGUGUUGGGGAUCGGCCCGCCCUCGCGGCGCGCCGUCCCCCAAAUAUAGUGGCGGCCUCGCUGCAGCCUCCCCUGCGUAGUAGCUAACACCUCGCAACGGGAUCUCAGCGCGGCCACGCCGUUAAACCCCCCACUUCUGAAUGGUUGACCUCGGAUCAGGUAGGACUACCCGCUGAACUUAA
This 257-nucleotide unclassified non-coding RNA is filed under the name Hypocreales sp. RNAcentral describes it as "partial contains 5.8S ribosomal RNA, internal transcribed spacer 2, and large subunit ribosomal RNA". Lineage: Eukaryota; Fungi; Ascomycota; Sordariomycetes; Hypocreales. The record is from RNAcentral.